Molecule: ribosomal RNA, 425 nt
Filed under: uncultured cyanobacterium
Lineage: Bacteria; Bacillati; Cyanobacteriota
Description: bacterial SSU rRNA
Rfam family: Bacterial small subunit ribosomal RNA
Source: RNAcentral
GGGGAAUUUUCCGCAAUGGGCGAAAGCCUGACGGAGCAAGACCGCGUGGGGGAAGAAGGCUCUUGGGUUGUAAACCCCUUUUCUCUGGGAAGAACGCAAUGACGGUACCAGAGGAAUCAGCAUCGGCUAACUCCGUGCCAGCAGCCGCGGUAAGACGGAGGAUGCAAGCGUUAUCCGGAAUGAUUGGGCGUAAAGCGUCCGNNGGUGGCAGUUCAAGUCUGCUGUCAAAGACCGGGGCUCAACCUCGGAAAGGCAGUGGAAACUGAACAGCUAGAGUAUGGUAGGGGCAAAGGGAAUUCCUGGUGUAGCGGUGAAAUGCGUAGAGAUCAGGAAGAACAUCGGUGGCGAAGGCGCUUUGCUGGACCAUAACUGACACUCAGGGACGAAAGCUAGGGGAGCGAAUGGGAUUAGAUACCCCAGUAGUC